CGCUGGUCAAGCGGGUUGUACAAGGCCAGAAUGAAGAGAAGCUGCGAGUCAGUAUGGAACUCAGAGGUCCCCGAGUGGAUAUCCACGUGGAAAGGAUGUUGGCAGCCCGGGUGACCUCGGAGUCACGGCUGGAUCCACCCUCCCGCCUGAUUUUCUUAACUCCACCCUGCUGAGAAGAUGCCCUCCAGGAGGCUGUGCUUGCAGACUCCACGGAGCCUCUCUCAAGAUUUCCUGAACCUUGUGGAUUUACAGUAAGACGAAGUUCCCUGGGGAGUAAUUCUGGUGGAUGCAAAUUCUGGAGUAAUACACCUGGCCUGCCUAGAGAUGUUACAAGUGGCCUAAUGGAUUUUUCUAGCCUGGACGCCCACUGGGGACAAGGAUCAUUACUGACAGGAUUGUAUCUCUACCCUUGACUCCAUGGGAAUAUUUGGUCUGCUCUCUCGGGCUCCCUCUAAAAUGGUUGACAGAGCUGAGGCUCACAACAGGCUGAACAUGUGCCUGAUGCUUUGCACAGGGUCAGGACCAGCUUCUGGGGAGGGUGAGCAUUGGUUGGCCCUGAGAAGAUUCUAAGGAGCCAG
RNAcentral lists this long non-coding RNA (578 nucleotides) under Rattus norvegicus (Norway rat). RNAcentral's name for it is "long non-coding RNA NONRATT025985". The stretch from base 1 to 144 matches the Rfam family "Pvt1 oncogene conserved region 1". Lineage: Eukaryota; Metazoa; Chordata; Mammalia; Rodentia; Muridae. The record is from RNAcentral.